CAUGCUUAGUAGGUACAGAACUGUGAUCUCGGUCAAAAUAUUUAUUUUGUUAAACAAAAUAAAUUUGUAUAUAUCGGGGAAUCGUGAAGAUUUUAUCGGAGAGUAUUUGCACUCGGAAGGGUUAAGAUGAAUAUUAAAAAAUCGGACAUAGUACGAUAAGGUUGUAUGUCAAAAGGGAAACAGCCCAGAACAAGAGUUAAUAAGGUUCCAAAAUUAUUAUUAAGUGAAAUUAAGGAUGUGUCUUUGAAUACGAUCAAUUAAUAGGCUUGGAAGCGGCCAUUUUUUAAUGAUCUCGUAACAGAGCAUUGAUUUUUAAGAAGAUCACACCGAAAAUAUAACGGAUCUAAAUAAUAUACCGAAACCUUGUCCAUAUGUAGUUUUUUCAAAAAAUAUAUAUGGGGUAGCGGAACAUUGGAUAAAUUUAAGACUUAUUCUUUUUAAGAUUAAAAAAUUAAAUAAUCCAAGUGAGAAUGCUGACAUGAGUAACGAAAAAGAUAAAUCUCGCCUUAAGCUUAUGGUAUUUAAUUAAAACGGCUUCUAAGCAUAAGUUGGUAAUAUAUUUAAGUAUCUAAACACUAAUAGGGUAGAUAUGUUAAAUUGCACUAGCUCUUUAAAAAAAUAAAAAAAAAGUAUAAAAUAUGAAUCGUAUAAGACAAUUUUUAAGAUACGGCUAAGAUAAUUUUAUAUGUCUCUUAAAAAAUAAUUGUUUUAGUUUUUGGAGUAAAAAAAAAUAUAACCCUAACUUUGACUUAGCCUUUUUUUACUCUAUAAAAACUAUUGUAUCGGUCUUUUGUCCGAUCAAUAUAACGAAAUUAGAGCAGCGUAAGGCGUAAUCCCUUACGGAUAAUGUUUUGUCAAUUUUAUACCCUAUUAAAUAUUUUAUAAAGAAUGUGAUGAAAUUUUUAACAAAACUAAUUAAAGUUAGAUUAGUUCAGGAAAACAAAAACAACCGUACCUAGAUACUAACACAAGUAAG
This 976-nucleotide ribosomal RNA is filed under the name Ceramothyrium carniolicum. Its description in RNAcentral is "partial large subunit ribosomal RNA". The stretch from base 1 to 478 matches the Rfam family "Bacterial large subunit ribosomal RNA", at positions 891 to 1301 of the family's 2925-position model. Lineage: Eukaryota; Fungi; Ascomycota; Eurotiomycetes; Chaetothyriales; Chaetothyriaceae. The record is from RNAcentral.